RNAcentral lists this non-coding RNA (21 nucleotides) under Caenorhabditis elegans. The record is from RNAcentral. Lineage: Eukaryota; Metazoa; Nematoda; Chromadorea; Rhabditida; Rhabditidae.
UACCAUUGAAGUAACUGAAUA